UAAAGGCAGAAAUUCUAACGAAGGCAAGUGCAUUGAGAAUACUAAAACUCAAAAUUUACCUUGGAAAAUUGGGGUGGGGGUUGUAUGCAAAACCUAGGGUAGAAAAGGUAGUGAAUACAUGGCAGAAUUUGAGGAAACAUCCAAGGAAGAUUUGGACUUUUGCCAGUAAUUCCCAUGAAUUACCUGAUGUUAUUCUAUAAUAAAUAAGCAUUAUAUCAAGAUAAUACUCAUCAACUUAGCUGCUCGUAUCUAAUUACUUCUAAAAAGUCCUGGACAAUAGAAGCAGGGGUAAGUUAAGUUGAAUAAAAUGCUUUCAAUUAAAAGAACAGGGCUUUUCUUUGAAAAGGCUAAAUGGAUGACUAUUUCCUCUUAUUUAAUCUAGACUCUCAUGCAAGCUAUUUUGAUGAAGGCAGGAAUAAUAUGAUAGGUGUGACAAACUUUUGCAAAGGAAGUCUCUGUAAUGGUCUGUCAAAGUAGUUGAAGUGGGGUUCUCUAGAAGAGAAUAAGAUCAAAUCUAGGCUAAGUAAGGAUGGCCCUCUUCCACCUCACAGGAAAUCAUACAGAAGAUCCCAUGUGCCAGACUAUAAACACUCUCUGUAGCAUCCAGACUAGGAACUGCUGGCCCACAGAUGCUGCCUAUUUGCACUCUUAUCCAGACAGAUGCAAAGCAAGAGGGAGGAGAGUUGUCAGUGGCCAAUUCUAGCCAGAGCUUCACUCAUUGCCAAGAGGGAAAAGGAGAUGAAAUUGAAUGACAGCAGAGCUGGCAGAUCUCAUUGCUCAUGGAUGAUUUCUCAGGUCCUUCAGGUCUCUAAGGCAAGUUUGAAGAACAGUGUGUGAAAGCCUUCCUUUGCCUGUUCCUGUCUUGACAAUUCACAGUCCUAAUGGUGAGCAGUGAACUGGAGAGAGAACUCCUAAGAGACACACAUGUAGCACACAAGCAUGAGGAAGCCUGGUUUAGGGGCUAUGGCAGAGGUGGAGGAAACUUGAAGGCAGUGUGCCCAUUUUGAUUAUAAAGAAAUAAUAAAUUAGAGGUCUAUUUAUGUCUUGGGUUUCUAUUUAAAAAUCCAGGGAUACUGGAUAUAGUAACUGGUUUGAUCAUAAUUUCUCACAUUUUAUUCUGCUGUUCUUGGUAAGUCCCAGUAGAAAGAUGGGGAGAGGGUGAAGAAUAGGACAGGGAGGAACCAAGCAUGAGACUAAGAAAAAUUAACUAGAUGAAGUGCCUUAAAGAAGACUACAUGUGCUCUGUAUCAUUGGACAAUAGUUUGAAAAUUUGCCCAAUGUCUCAAUCACACAUCUAACUGCCUUUAAGAACUUUUUAAAUUUGAAUAAUCUGUUUAAAUCAAAAGAACAAUUCAAA
Non-coding RNA from Heterocephalus glaber (naked mole-rat), 1357 nucleotides. NCBI's taxonomy places the organism in Eukaryota, Metazoa, Chordata, Mammalia, Rodentia, Bathyergidae. The record is from RefSeq and is a predicted model, not a curated record.